CUCCAGAUAGUGGAGGAAAGAAUAAAGUAGAAGAAUAUGAAGCAGAAUUCACACACAUAACCAUCUCAGAAACAUAAAAGAAAAAAGUUUUUUUGGUAAUAUGUUGUGUUUUGAGUACAGUUAUUUAUCUAUAAUUGGUCUUUUUUGCCAUGUGUUGUCUAGUUUAUUUUGUAUAUUUUCGAAGUUUGAAUGUCCCUAUGGUAUCUUUUGCCCCUCUUUUGCAACCAUGUUGACCUAUUUGUAGAUCAUUCAAAGAGAUCUAUUAAAAUCUAUUAAAAUAAUUAUAGUUGAUCUAUGUAUUGUUUGUACAUUAAAAAAAAGUCAUUAAAGAUAUGAGGCUUAUAAUUUGGUAUUCAAGAUAUUUAUAAAUGCUGAUCUG
This 379-nucleotide long non-coding RNA is filed under the name Mytilus galloprovincialis (Mediterranean mussel). Lineage: Eukaryota; Metazoa; Mollusca; Bivalvia; Mytilida; Mytilidae. The record is from RNAcentral.